Molecule: ribosomal RNA, 1343 nt
Filed under: uncultured bacterium
Lineage: Bacteria
Description: 16S ribosomal RNA
Rfam family: Bacterial small subunit ribosomal RNA
Source: RNAcentral
GACGAACGCUUGCGGCGUGCUUAACACAUGCAAGUCGAACGGAAAGGCCCUGCUUUUGUGGGGUGCUCGAGUGGCGAACGGGUGAGUAACACGUGAGUAACCUGCCCUUGACUUUGGGAUAACUUCAGGAAACUGGGGCUAAUACCGGAUAGGAGCUCCUGCUGCAUGGUGGGGGUUGGAAAGUUUCGGCGGUUGGGGAUGGACUCGCGGCUUAUCAGCUUGUUGGUGGGGUAGUGGCUUACCAAGGCUUUGACGGGUAGCCGGCCUGAGAGGGUGACCGGCCACAUUGGGACUGAGAUACGGCCCAGACUCCUACGGGAGGCAGCAGUGGGGAAUAUUGCACAAUGGGCGGAAGCCUGAUGCAGCAACGCCGCGUGCUGGAUGACGGCCUUCGGGUUGUAAACCGCUUUCGCCUGUGACGAAGCGUGAGUGACGGUAAUGGGUAAAGAAGCACCGGCUAACUACGUGCCAGCAGCCGCGGUGAUACGUAGGGUGCGAGCGUUGUCCGGAUUUAUUGGGCGUAAAGGGCUCGUAGGUGGUUGAUCGCGUCGGAAGUGUAAUCUUGGGGCUUAACCCUGAGCGUGCUUUCGAUACGGGUUGACUUGAGGAAGGUAGGGGAGAAUGGAAUUCCUGGUGGAGCGGUGGAAUGCGCAGAUAUCAGGAGGAACACCAGUGGCGAAGGCGGUUCUCUGGGCCUUUCCUGACGCUGAGGAGCGAAAGCGUGGGGAGCGAACAGGCUUAGAUACCCUGGUAGUCCACGCUGUAAACGGUGGGUACUAGGUGUGGGGUCCAUUCCACGGGUUCCGUGCCGUAGCUAACGCUUUAAGUACCCCGCCUGGGGAGUACGGCCGCAAGGCUAAAACUCAAAGGAAUUGACGGGGCCCCGCACAAGCGGCGGAGCAUGCGGAUUAAUUCGAUGCAACGCGUAGAACCUUACCUGGGUUUGACAUGGAUCGGGAGUGCUCAGAGAUGGGUGUGCCUCUUUUGGGGUCGGUUCACAGGUGGUGCAUGGCUGUCGUCAGCUCGUGUCGUGAGAUGUUGGGUUAAGUCCCGCAACGAGCGCAACCCUUGUUCACUGUUGCCAGCACGUUAUGGUGGGGACUCAGUGGAGACCGCCGGGGUCAACUCGGAGGAAGGUGGGGAUGACGUCAAGUCAUCAUGCCCCUUAUGUCCAGGGCUUCACGCAUGCUACAAUGGCUGGUACAGAGAGUGGCGAGCCUGUGAGGGUGAGCGAAUCUCGGAAAGCCGGUCUCAGUUCGGAUUGGGGUCUGCAACUCGACCUCAUGAAGUCGGAGUCGCUAGUAAUCGCAGAUCAGCAACGCUGCGGUGAAUACGUUCCCGGG